AUGGUCUUCAAUCCCUUAGGAGUACCCUCCCGAAUGAAUGUGGGGCAAAUAUUUGAAAGCUUGCUCGGAUUAGCAGGGGAUCUGCUAAAGAAACAUUAUAGAAUAGCACCCUUUGAUGAGAGAUAUGAGCAAGAGUCUUCAAGAAAACUUGUGUUUUCAGAAUUAUAUGAAGCCAGUAAGGGUACAAAGCAGUAG
Molecule: ribosomal RNA, 195 nt
Filed under: Triticum aestivum (bread wheat)
Lineage: Eukaryota; Viridiplantae; Streptophyta; Magnoliopsida; Poales; Poaceae
Description: partial small subunit ribosomal RNA
Source: RNAcentral